UCGUCGCCAGCCGUGGCCGCUGCCACACUGGCGAUGAUGGCCGGUCCCGGUGAAGAGACCAAAAGAAAGGGAUGAUCCCUCUCUCUUCAUGGUUGGGAAUACAUCUCCCUCCCUCAAAUCCUUUUUGAUCCAAGGGCAACAACCAUGGUGGCUGUGCCCUCUCCUUCUCCAACCCAACAACACCACUGGCCGAACCAUCGCCGGCCGCCACUGUUGCAGUCGCCGGCGAUGGUGGCCGGACAAGGGGAAGAGAGAAGACUCCUCUUCUAUCUCUUCGAGUGGUAUCAGAGCUUAAGGUUGAGGUAUCCUAGGAUUUAAGUUCAGGUGAGUAUCAGUGGAGAAUUAUGAUAGAAAAACUAUCAGAGUCUUGGUUUAUAAUCAUAUGAGAUUGUAACAGAAAUGAUAUUGUAAUCUAAGAUUUAAGACCACUAGGGACUGUGGCCUUAAUGGCAUUAGAGUUUGACGUUUAAGACCAUUGGGGAUAGUGACAAAAUUGGAAUUUGAGCAUAUGUUUAAGAUCACUAGGGAUCGUGACAGAAAUAUAUCAUAGCUUAAUGUUAUGAUCACUUUGGACAUGACAAUUAAAUUCAGUGCUUAAGCUGUAAGAUCACUUGGCAUUGUGAUAAAAUGUAUGCAUCGGUUUGGUUUUCGAUGCAUACGGAAGGAAGUAUAAAUUGUCUUUGAUUAUGAUAAGAGAGGUUUGACCUAAGAUAAGUGUAGAUCAACAAUGGCAUAUCAAGUAUACCAUGUUCAGAUAUUAUUUAAAUGAUUUGAAAGUUCAAAUUUGAUGUGGGUUUUGAUGUGAUCAUACAUUUGG
RNAcentral lists this long non-coding RNA (817 nucleotides) under Phoenix dactylifera (date palm). RNAcentral describes it as "long non-coding RNA (PDAC_LNC014004)". The record is from RNAcentral. Lineage: Eukaryota; Viridiplantae; Streptophyta; Magnoliopsida; Arecales; Arecaceae.